RNAcentral lists this unclassified non-coding RNA (221 nucleotides) under uncultured Alphaproteobacteria bacterium. RNAcentral describes it as "contains 16S-23S intergenic spacer region". Lineage: Bacteria; Pseudomonadati; Pseudomonadota; Alphaproteobacteria. The record is from RNAcentral.
UAACGUCAUUCCCCUAAACUUCCCAUGUCAAAGGCUGGUAAGGUUCUGCGCGUUGCUUCGAAUUAAACCACAUACUCCACCGCUUGUGCGGGCCCCCGUCAAUUCCUUUGAGUUUUAAUCUUGCGACCGUACUCCCCAGGCGGAGUGCUUAAUGCGUUAGCUGCGACACUGCAUGUGUUUACACGCAACAUCUAGCACUCAUCGUUUACGGCGUGGACUAC